Molecule: unclassified non-coding RNA, 346 nt
Filed under: soil metagenome
Description: partial contains 5.8S ribosomal RNA, internal transcribed spacer 2, and large subunit ribosomal RNA
Rfam family: 5.8S ribosomal RNA (bases 1-119)
Source: RNAcentral
GAUGAAAACGCAGCGAAAUGCGAUAAGUAAUGUGAAUUGCAGAAUUCAGUGAAUCAUCGAGUCUUUGAACGCACAUUGCGCCCCCUGGUAUUCCGGGGGGCAUGCCUGUCCGAGCGUCAUUGCUGCCCUCAAGCACGGCUUGUGUGUUGGGCUUCCGUCCCUGGCAACGGGGACGGGCCCAAAAGGCAGUGGCGGCACCAUGUCUGGUCCUCGAGCGUAUGGGGCUUUGUCACCCGCUCCCGUAGGUCCAGCUGGCAGCUAGCCUCGCAACCAAUCUUUUUAACCAGGUUGACCUCGGAUCAGGUAGGGAUACCCGCUGAACUUAAGCAUAUCAAUAAGCGGAGGA